GUCCUACGGGGGGCAGCAGUGGGGAAUAUUGGUCAAUGGCCGGAAGGCUGAACCAGCCAAGCCGCGUGAGGGAGGAAGGCGCAGAGCGUCGCAGACCUCUUUUGCCGGGGGACAAAAGGCCGGACUCGUCCGGUCCUGAGGGUACCCGGAGAAAAAGCAUCGGCUAACUCCGUGCCAGCAGCCGCGGUAAUACGGAGGAUGCGAGCGUUAUCCGGAUUUAUUGGGUUUAAAGGGUGCGUAGGCGGGACGGUAAGUCAGCGGUAAAAAUGCGGAGCUCAACUCCGUCGAGCCGUUGAAACUGUCGU
Molecule: ribosomal RNA, 305 nt
Filed under: uncultured bacterium
Lineage: Bacteria
Description: bacterial SSU rRNA
Rfam family: Bacterial small subunit ribosomal RNA
Source: RNAcentral